CACCUGAUUGAUUUGGUCGCAACGAGUGGCGGACGGGUGAGUAACACGUAGGUAACCUGCCCAGAAGCGGGGACAACAUUUGGAAACAGAUGCUAAUACCGCAUAACAACGUUGUUCGCAUGAACAACGCUUAAAAGAUGGCUUCUCGCUAUCACUUUGGAUGGACCUGCGGUGCAUUAGCUUGUUGGUGGGGUAACGGCCUACCAAGGCGAUGAUGCAUAGCCGAUUGAGAGACUGAUCGGCCACAAUGGGACUGAGACACGGCCCAUACUCCUACGGGAGGCAGCAGUAGGGAAUCUUCCACAAUGGGCGCAAGCCUGAUGGAGCAACACCGCGUGAGUGAAGAAGGGUUUCGGCUCGUAAAGCUCUGUUGUUAAAGAAGAACACGUAUGAGAGUAACUGUUCUACGUUGACGGUAUUUAACCAGAAAGUCACGGCUAACUACGUGCCAGCAGCCGCGGUAAUACGUAGGUGGCAAGCGUUAUCCGGAUUUAUUGGGCGUAAAGAGAGUGCAGGCGGUUUUUAAGUCUGAUGUGAAAGCCUUCGGCUUAACCGGAGAAGUGCAUCGGAAACUGGAUAACUUAGUGCNGAA
This 592-nucleotide ribosomal RNA is filed under the name Limosilactobacillus fermentum. RNAcentral's name for it is "bacterial SSU rRNA". It matches the Rfam family "Bacterial small subunit ribosomal RNA", at positions 72 to 652 of the family's 1533-position model. Lineage: Bacteria; Bacillati; Bacillota; Bacilli; Lactobacillales; Lactobacillaceae. The record is from RNAcentral.